This 1372-nucleotide ribosomal RNA is filed under the name uncultured bacterium. Its description in RNAcentral is "bacterial SSU rRNA". It matches the Rfam family "Bacterial small subunit ribosomal RNA", at positions 28 to 1381 of the family's 1533-position model. The record is from RNAcentral.
GAUGAACGCUGGCGGCGUGCCUAAUACAUGCAAGUCGAGCGAACGGACGAGAAGCUUGCUUCUCUGAUGUUAGCGGCGGACGGGUGAGUAACACGUGGAUAACCUACCUAUAAGACUGGGAUAACUUCGGGAAACCGGAGCUAAUACCGGAUAAUAUUUUGAACCGCAUGGUUCAAAAGUGAAAGACGGUCUUGCUGUCACUUAUAGAUGGAUCCGCGCUGCAUUAGCUAGUUGGUAAGGUAACGGCUUACCAAGGCAACGAUGCAUAGCCGACCUGAGAGGGUGAUCGGCCACACUGGAACUGAGACACGGUCCAGACUCCUACGGGAGGCAGCAGUAGGGAAUCUUCCGCAAUGGGCGAAAGCCUGACGGAGCAACGCCGCGUGAGUGAUGAAGGUCUUCGGAUCGUAAAACUCUGUUAUUAGGGAAGAACAUAUGUGUAAGUAACUGUGCACAUCUUGACGGUACCUAAUCAGAAAGCCACGGCUAACUACGUGCCAGCAGCCGCGGUAAUACGUAGGUGGCAAGCGUUAUCCGGAAUUAUUGGGCGUAAAGCGCGCGUAGGCGGUUUUUUAAGUCUGAUGUGAAAGCCCACGGCUCAACCGUGGAGGGUCAUUGGAAACUGGAAAACUUGAGUGCAGAAGAGGAAAGUGGAAUUCCAUGUGUAGCGGUGAAAUGCGCAGAGAUAUGGAGGAACACCAGUGGCGAAGGCGACUUUCUGGUCUGUAACUGACGCUGAUGUGCGAAAGCGUGGGGAUCAAACAGGAUUAGAUACCCUGGUAGUCCACGCCGUAAACGAUGAGUGCUAAGUGUUAGGGGGUUUCCGCCCCUUAGUGCUGCAGCUAACGCAUUAGGCACUCCGCCUGGGGAGUACGACCGCAAGGUUGAAACUCAAAGGAAUUGACGGGGACCCGCACAAGCGGUGGAGCAUGUGGUUUAAUUCGAAGCAACGCGAAGAACCUUACCAAAUCUUGACAUCCUUUGACAACUCUAGAGAUAGAGCUUUCCCCUUCGGGGGACAAAGUGACAGGUGGUGCAUGGUUGUCGUCAGCUCGUGUCGUGAGAUGUUGGGUUAAGUCCCGCAACGAGCGCAACCCUUAAGCUUAGUUGCCAUCAUUAAGUUGGGCACUCUAAGUUGACUGCUGGUGACAAACCGGAGGAAGGUGGGGAUGACGUCAAAUCAUCAUGCCCCUUAUGAUUUGGGCUACACACGUGCUACAAUGGACAAUACAAAGGGCAGCGAAACCGCGAGGUCAAGCAAAUCCCAUAAAGUUGUUCUCAGUUCGGAUUGUAGUCUGCAACUCGACUACAUGAAGCUGGAAUCGCUAGUAAUCGUAGAUCAGCAUGCUACGGUGAAUACGUUCCCGGGUCU